This 527-nucleotide long non-coding RNA is filed under the name Olea europaea (common olive). Its description in RNAcentral is "long non-coding RNA (OEUR_LNC007550)". Lineage: Eukaryota; Viridiplantae; Streptophyta; Magnoliopsida; Lamiales; Oleaceae. The record is from RNAcentral.
AAAAAUGUUUAACAUUCAACAUACAUUAUAAAAACUUGAAAUCAAAUUAUAGUUGAAACUCACAACAUAAAAAUACAAAUCAAAAAGUCCUAGAGUUAAUAAGUUGAUAAUUUGAUCACAGGUUGAGCCUUUGGGAUGGGCUCUUUCCUUAGCUUCUUAACUUCUUCUUUAGCCAACAAAUCAACAAAAAAAUGCAAGAAUCGAUUGUAAAAACUUCUCAAAACUAGUUAACCUCUCGCUACGACCAAGCUUCGUCAAGAAGGGAAAAAUGUACCUCACUAUUACACUCAGCACAUUCAAUAGCCCUAAUGUCACUGUGCAGUACCGGAUGCACGGGCCUUGGAGGACAACUACCAAAAAAUAGCAAAGUAUUGAAUUUCGACUAGAAAGUUAAAAUGUGUUGUAAUAAUUACUUGUAAGUAGUAUAGUAUCGUGUCUACAAAGCUGAAGUCCCAAAGAACAGAAGAUCUCUUCAUGAGAUGAUUAUCACAUUUCUGCAUACAGUAUAUAGCAAUUUAUCAUGAAAG